CUGCACAGAGAGUCAGGGGCCAGACUGAAUGAAGAAGCUAGAUCCAUGGCAGAGGGAGGAAUUGCCAAGCUGCUUAGGCCAGCACUCUUCUAUCAACUAGGAAAGCUCUGCAUCCGUGUUUCUAUUUCUUAAUGCACAACAUACACCAGGAGAGAUGAAGUAGGUACACUGGAGCGGACCCCACUGUGCCGUGUCUUCUUGGUUUGAAGUCUGGCCAUUCCACUUUGUCUACCAUCCCGAGAUGAGAACAUAAAGCAAAGAAGAGAGUUCAUCUGAGUUUCUGUGCAGCCUCUGUUGAAGGUUACACACUCUACUUUCCUUCUGAGGUUUUCCUGUACCAAGAUUUAGUGCCAGCAGCCAGGAUGAGAUACAUUCCAAAGAAAAGAGUCCCUGAGGCUUGAAA
Long non-coding RNA from Suricata suricatta (meerkat), 403 nucleotides. RefSeq lists it as uncharacterized. Lineage: Eukaryota; Metazoa; Chordata; Mammalia; Carnivora; Herpestidae. The transcript is spliced from 3 exons. The record is from RefSeq and is a predicted model, not a curated record.